CGGAAUUACUGGGCGUAAAGAGCUCGUAGGUGGUUUGUCGCGUCGUUUGUGUAAGCCCGCAGCUUAACUGCGGGACUGCAGGCGAUACGGGCAUAACUUGAGUGCUGUAGGGGAGACUGGAAUUCCUGGUGUAGCGGUGGAAUGCGCAGAUAUCAGGAGGAACACCGAUGGCGAAGGCAGGUCUCUGGGCAGUAACUGACGCUGAGGAGCGAAAGCAUGGGUAGCGAACAGGAUUAGAUACCCUGGUAGUCCAUGCCGUAAACGGUGGGCGCUAGGUGUGAGUCCCUUCCACGGGGUUCGUGCCGUAGCUAACGCAUUAAGCGCCCCGCCUGGGGAGUACGGCCGCAAGGCUAAAACUCAAAGGAAUUGACGGGGGCCCGCACAAGCGGCGGAGCAUGUGGAUUAAUUCGAUGCAACGCGAAGAACCUUACCUGGGCUUGACAUACACCGGACCGGGCCAGAGAUGGUCUUUCCCUUUGUGGUUGGUGUACAGGUGGUGCAUGGUUGUCGUCAGCUCGUGUCGUGAGAUGUUGGGUUAAGUCCCGCAACGAGCGCAACCCUUGUCUUAUGUUGCCAGCACGUUAUGGUGGGGACUCGUGAGAGACUGCCGGGGUUAACUCGGAGGAAGGUGGGGAUGACGUCAAAUCAUCAUGCCCCUUAUGUCCAGGGCUUCACACAUGCUACAAUGGUCGGUACAACGCGUCUGCGAGCCUGUGAGGGUGAGCUAAUCGCUGUAAAGCCGGUCGUAGUUCGGAUUGGGGUCUGCAAC
RNAcentral lists this ribosomal RNA (769 nucleotides) under uncultured bacterium. RNAcentral's name for it is "bacterial SSU rRNA". It matches the Rfam family "Bacterial small subunit ribosomal RNA", at positions 546 to 1311 of the family's 1533-position model. The record is from RNAcentral.